UACGUAGGGUGCGAGCGUUGUCCGGAAUUAUUGGGCGUAAAGAGCUUGUAGGCGGUUUGUCGCGUCUGCUGUGAAAAUCCGGGGCUCAACCCCGGACUUGCAGUGGGUACGGGCAGGCUAGAGUGUGGUAGGGGAGACUGGAAUUCCUGGUGUAGCGGUGAAAUGCGCAGAUAUCAGGAAGAACACCCGUGGCUAAGGCGGCUCUCUAGUACGGUACUGACGCUGAGACGCGAAAGCGUGGGGAGCGAACAGG
Molecule: ribosomal RNA, 253 nt
Filed under: uncultured bacterium
Lineage: Bacteria
Description: partial 16S ribosomal RNA
Rfam family: Bacterial small subunit ribosomal RNA
Source: RNAcentral